Molecule: ribosomal RNA, 90 nt
Filed under: Bacillus subtilis
Lineage: Bacteria; Bacillati; Bacillota; Bacilli; Caryophanales; Bacillaceae
Description: partial 16S ribosomal RNA
Rfam family: Bacterial small subunit ribosomal RNA
Source: RNAcentral
UUAUCGGAGAGUUUGAUCCUGGCUCAGGACGAACGCUGGCGGCGUGCCUAAUACAUGCAAGUCGAGCGGACAGAUGGGAGCUUGUUCCCU